RNAcentral lists this ribosomal RNA (466 nucleotides) under uncultured bacterium. RNAcentral describes it as "bacterial SSU rRNA". It matches the Rfam family "Bacterial small subunit ribosomal RNA", at positions 329 to 793 of the family's 1533-position model. The record is from RNAcentral.
CGCCAGACUCCUACGGGAGGCAGCAGUGAGGAAUAUUGGUCAAUGGUCGGGAGACUGAACCAGCCAAGCCGCGUGAGGGAUGAAGGUACAGAGUAUCGUAAACCUCUUUUGUCAGGGAACAAAGGCGGGGACGCGUCCCCGGAUGAGUGUACCUGAAGAAAAAGCAUCGGCUAACUCCGUGCCAGCAGCCGCGGUAAUACGGAGGAUGCGAGCGUUAUCCGGAUUUAUUGGGUUUAAAGGGUGCGCAGGCGGUCUGUAAAGUCAGGGGUAAAAGCCGGGGGCUCACCCCCGGUCCGCCGUUGAAACUGGCAGUCUCGAGUUGGAGAGAAGUAUGCGGAAUGCGCGGUGUAGCGGUGAAAUGCAUAGAUAUCGCGCAGAACCCCGAUUGCGAAGGCAGCGUGCCGUGCCGCCACUGACGCUGAGGCACGAAAGCGCGGGGAUCGAACAGGAUUAGAUACCCGUGUAU